UUCGGGUUAUGGAAACCGGCAACAUCAGGGUUAUGGUGGAGGUUCCCUAGUCCUGCAGAACCCCCCAAAUUGCAUACUUAAAAUUACUUAUUUUGUUGUACAUAGAUUUAAUCUCAACAAGGCUGAUUCAAGGUAAGAUAACAUACAUGUAGACUCCAGGCCAUGACCUGAUGGGCUUUGCCUGAUCUGACCCUGCCAGCCUCCAUCUGCCAACCUCCCUGGUCCUCACAGCAGGCCGCCACGGCCUGGCGUUGCUUCCCCUUGGACUUGCCAGUGGAGCCCUGCCUCAGGGCCUUUGCACCAUCUGUCCACUUGGAACCCUACCUGGGUUCUGGCUUAAGUCCCUCCAUGGUGUACAUUAUUUUGUAAAUUACUUCUCUCCGUCUUUUUAGUGUGGUGCCCUAUUGUCCAUCUUCUAGGGGCAGGGAUCUCUUAUUCCUGUACAAUGCUUAGACAAAUCCUUUGCACGUGGCAGGAUUAUUAAUUCUGCAAAGGGCUGUUAAAUGAGCCCAGGUCUGUGAGCUCUUUCUUGAAGAAGCUUACUGGUGUCCUCCAGCACCAAGCGCUGAAAUGACCACAACAGACCUGCUUCUGUGACCUAAGAAUGAAGGGUCAGGGUCCAGGACAGGGCAGCCCUGCGGCUCUCCUUGUGUGGUGUCCAGGUA
This 665-nucleotide long non-coding RNA is filed under the name Marmota monax (woodchuck). The record is from RNAcentral. Lineage: Eukaryota; Metazoa; Chordata; Mammalia; Rodentia; Sciuridae.